This 392-nucleotide ribosomal RNA is filed under the name Acanthopagrus butcheri (southern black bream). RNAcentral describes it as "partial 12S ribosomal RNA". It matches the Rfam family "Bacterial small subunit ribosomal RNA", at positions 794 to 1384 of the family's 1533-position model. The record is from RNAcentral. Lineage: Eukaryota; Metazoa; Chordata; Actinopteri; Spariformes; Sparidae.
GCUUAGCCAUAAACAUUGACAGUUUAUUACAUUUUCUGUCCGCCUGGGUAUUACAAGCAUUAGCUCAAAACCCAAAGGACUUGGCGGUGCUUUAGACCCAUCUAGAGGAGCCUGUUCUAGAACCGAUAACCCCCGUUCAACCUCACCCUUCCUUGCCCCUCCCGCCUAUAUACCACCGUCGUUCAGCUUACCCUGUGAAGGGUAAAGAGUAAGCAAAGCUGGCAUCACCCAGUACGUCAGGUCGAGGUGUAGCGAAUGGAAGGGAAGAAAUGGGCUACAUUCCCUUGUCUUCAGGGAACCACGAAUAGUGCACUGAAAACAUGUACUUAAAGGAGGAUUUAGCAGUAAGUAGAGAUUUAGAGUAUUCUACUGAAACUGGCUCUUAAGCGCGC